GGGCGUAAAGGGUCUGUAGGAGGUUUGUUAAAUACGGGGUGAAAUCCGGGAGCUCAACUCCCGAACUGCCCUGUAGACUGACAGACUGGAGUACCGGAGAGGUAAGCGGAAUACCAAGUGUAGCGGUGGAAUGCGUAGAUAUUUGGUAGAACACCAAGAGCGAAGGCAGCUUACUGGCCGGCAACUGACUCUGAAAGACGAAAGCAUGGGGAGCAAACAGGAUUAGAUACCCUGGUAGUCCAUGCCGUAAACGUUGUCAACUUGAUGUGGGUGGAUUUAGUCCUAUCCGUAUCGAAGCCAACGCGAUAAGUUGACCGCCUGGGGACUACGGCCGCAAGGCUAAAACUCAAAGGAAUUGACGGGGGCCCGCACAAGCGGUGGAGCAUGUGGCUUAAUUCGAGGCAACGCGAAGAACCUUACCUGGGCUUGAAAUAUACCGGACAGUUUGUGAAAGCAGAUCUUCCUUCGGGACUGGUAUACAGGUGCUGCAUGGCUGUCGUCAGCUCGUGCCGUGAGGUGUUCGGUUAAGUCCGGCAACGAGCGCAACCCGUGUCAUUAGUUGCCAACAGGUAAAGCUGGGGACUCUAAUGAGACUGCCUGUGUUAAGCAGGAGGAAGGCGCGGAUGACGUCAAGUCAGUAUGGCCCUUACGCCCAGGGCUGCACACGUGCUACAAUGGCCGGCACAAUGAGAAGCGAAGUCGCGAGGCGGAGCAAAUCUACAAAACCGGUCUUAGUUCAGAUUGCAGUCUGCAACUCGACU
RNAcentral lists this ribosomal RNA (761 nucleotides) under human gut metagenome. Its description in RNAcentral is "bacterial SSU rRNA". It matches the Rfam family "Bacterial small subunit ribosomal RNA", at positions 556 to 1317 of the family's 1533-position model. The record is from RNAcentral.